Molecule: long non-coding RNA, 738 nt
Organism: Macrobrachium nipponense
Lineage: Eukaryota; Metazoa; Arthropoda; Malacostraca; Decapoda; Palaemonidae
Exons: 3
Source: RefSeq, a predicted model, not a curated record
AAUUUUUCCUAGCUUCACGGAAAAAGAAAUAGUACAAACUGUUCACAGACUUAGGCAAUACUUGAUGUUAGUUUUUAUUUUUGAUAAAGGUGUUGUUGCUGCUAAAAUGAAAGAAAGAAAAAAAAGAGGCUUUAGUUCUAGUAAUCUUUCGCACGCUACGGGAGUGGUACCUUUGUCCAGUGUGAUUUUUUUCUUUUUGAAGUGUGAUAUUUGAUUCGGGAACAAAUUAGUAAUUUAAACAGACUGGAACUACUUAUUUUGUUUAUUUUUCUACUAUUUUGAAACAACUGUCGGAAACUCUUGGGUUUGGAGAUGGGAGGAAAUACAACAUAGUGAAGUGGUCCCACAACCUAGGUACUAUUUCUAAAAAUUCUGAUUCUGAUUAGCCUAAGGUUAGGAUGAAGGGUCCAUGGAAAUGAAGCAUCCAUCCACCAUCCUGCAGCCAGGUUUUAGGGACAUGGAUCUGGCAUGUACAGACCACUUUCAAAACAGAUGCGUGUUGACCUGUGCUCCACUUACUCCUUAUGAGAAAAACAUUUAUGACAGGCUUUUUAGGAGAUUACAUUGGUUACCAACACGUAAGAAGUGGUUACCCCACCACUCAUCUAACAACUGCCAAUUAACCAUUUUAUUACCAAGUCUCAACAACAGUGUUUAGCCUGCACUUGGAAUAAUUUAUAUAAAAUGUUCUGAUGCAUAUAUAACGUUUUGAUUUACCUUGUUAAGUCUUUCACUGAA